GGAGAGAUGGCUCAGUGGUUAAGAGCACUGACUGUUCUUCCAGAGGUCCCGAGUUCAAUUCCCAGCAACCCCA
Molecule: transfer RNA, 73 nt
Filed under: Mus musculus (house mouse)
Lineage: Eukaryota; Metazoa; Chordata; Mammalia; Rodentia; Muridae
Description: tRNA-Asn
Source: RNAcentral